GGGGUUGUACUGGUUUCGACGGGGGUUUUGAAGUCAGGGAAGCCAUCUGCGGGCCGGGACCGCACAGUAAACCGGAAACUAAAUAUAAACGCAGACGAAAAUUUAGCGUACGCAGCCUAAGGGCUGCUGUCGACCUUGGGUUACUCACAGCCUGAGCCAUCGGCAUCAAAUGAUGUGAGGCACUUCGUUCCUAAAGCUUUGAGGGUACGGAAGAAUUGAUGAAGCUACUGAAAUCUGAAGCUUGUCAUUAGGCGUCAGAUAGAGGGAAUGUCAAAAUAAUGACUGUGAUGGGAGAUGCCUUGAUGGAUGGGCUUUCGGACAGGGGUUCGAUUCCCCUCAGCUCCAUAU
Molecule: small RNA, 348 nt
Filed under: Lachnospiraceae bacterium
Lineage: Bacteria; Bacillati; Bacillota; Clostridia; Lachnospirales; Lachnospiraceae
Description: transfer-messenger RNA
Rfam family: transfer-messenger RNA
About the family: Bacterial tmRNA, also known as 10Sa RNA or SsrA, is named for its dual tRNA and mRNA-like properties. Its role is to liberate the mRNA from a stalled ribosome.
Source: RNAcentral